This 446-nucleotide ribosomal RNA is filed under the name uncultured bacterium. RNAcentral describes it as "partial 16S ribosomal RNA". It matches the Rfam family "Bacterial small subunit ribosomal RNA", at positions 338 to 795 of the family's 1533-position model. The record is from RNAcentral.
CCUACGGGUGGCAGCAGUCGAGAAUCAUUCACAAUGGGGGAAACCCUGAUGGUGCGACGCCGCGUGGGGGAAUGAAGGUCUUCGGAUUGUAAACCCCUGUCAUGUGGGAGCAAAUUAAAAAGAUAGUACCACAAGAGGAAGAGACGGCUAACUCUGUGCCAGCAGCCGCGGUAAUACAGAGGUCUCAAGCGUUGUUCGGAAUCACUGGGCGUAAAGGGUGCGUAGGCGGUUUCGUAAGUCGUGUGUGAAAGGCGCGGGCUCAACCCGCGGACGGCACAUGAUACUGCGAGACUAGAGUAAUGGAGGGGGAACCGGAAUUCUCGGUGUAGCAGUGAAAUGCGUAGAUAUCGAGAGGAACACUCGUGGCGAAGGCGGGUUCCUGGACAUUAACUGACGCUGAGGCACGAAGGCCAGGGGAGCGAAAGGGAUUAGAUACCCUAGUAGUC